AGUGGCGAACGGGUGAGUAAUAUAUCGGAACGUGUCCGGAAGUGGGGGAUAGCUCGGCGAAAGCCGGAUUAAUACCGCAUAUGCCCUGAGGGGGAAAGGGGGGGAUCGCAAGACCUCUCGCUUUCGGAGUGGCCGAUAUCGGAUUAGCUAGUUGGUGGGGUAAAGGCUCACCAAGGCGACGAUCCGUAGCUGGUCUGAGAGGACGACCAGCCACACUGGAACUGAGACACGGUCCAGACUCCUACGGGAGGCAGCAGUGGGGAAUUUUGGACAAUGGGCGAAAGCCUGAUCCAGCCAUACCGCGUGAGUGAAGAAGGCCUCCGGGUUGUAAAGCUCUUUCAGCUGGAAAGAAAACGCAUCUCUUAAUACGAGGUGUGGAUGACGGUACCAGCAGAAGAAGCACCGGCUAACUACGUGCCAGCAGCCGCGGUAAUACGUAGGGUGCGAGCGUUAAUCGGAAUUACUGGGCGUAAAGCGUGCGCAGGCGG
This 488-nucleotide ribosomal RNA is filed under the name uncultured beta proteobacterium. RNAcentral's name for it is "bacterial SSU rRNA". It matches the Rfam family "Bacterial small subunit ribosomal RNA", at positions 94 to 578 of the family's 1533-position model. Lineage: Bacteria; Pseudomonadati; Pseudomonadota; Betaproteobacteria. The record is from RNAcentral.